Molecule: RNA transcript, 1452 nt
Organism: Triticum dicoccoides
Lineage: Eukaryota; Viridiplantae; Streptophyta; Magnoliopsida; Poales; Poaceae
Exons: 6
Source: RefSeq, a predicted model, not a curated record
CCUUGAAAACUGAAACUCUGUUACGAAAUGUAAUUCUGUUAAACCUCAUAGGGCAAUGAACUGUACAUUUUCUCAGACAAACUGUAGAUGAAGAGAAUAACAAAAAUAUUUUGUAUACCAUCAACAGGUAAGAAGUGGCAUCGAGCUAAACUGACAUAAUAGAAGGAGAAUAUAGACCAGCAUUGAUUGUUACUAGUCAAUGCACAUAGCUAGAUAUCGAUGUUCUUCUUCUGGUUGUUGCUUAUUAAUUGUUUGGCACUCAUCUUGCCCCAACUAACUUUCAGUGAUCCGUACUCAUGUCAGUAUGGCACUGAUUUAUCUCUAGACAUGGUUCUGUCUUACUGUUAUAGGCAAAUGUUAGUAAACAAAAUAGUGUGUUCCUUUCAGAAGAGUACAAAAGAAUUCAUGUUGCUGUAAAGAAAUAAGGUGGACCAUCAAAUAAAACAUUGUUUCAGAAUUUGUGGUUUUGGAAUGAUUAUUCGGUUUUUUCUUAUGAGACCUGGGUAACAAGAUAAAAGUUCCUUACAUGAUGGAACGCUGAUGGAGAGUCAAUGGAAUGUCUGAAGAGAGUUAUCCCCUAUGAGCACAUGGACAUUGCAUAAUCAGUCUUAUCAUGGGAAUAAUUUGCCUGCCUAAAGAAGGCGAAGCAAUCAGCCAAGCAAUGAUACUGGAGUCCAGUAAAGAGAAAUCUUCCAGUGACAAUCAAGAGUUGAAUCGUAGACAUUCCAAUGGAGACAAGUCAUCCAACCAUCCAGCGGAAGUGUAGACAAUUUAAAGAAACCAGCAAUUGAUCCGGGCAAUAAUAGCGCAUCAGUUUCAUCUAGUUCUAUACAUAAGAAGAUCACUGCCUGCUGGUCCAGAUUAUAUGGUCAUGAAGCUCGGCGUUGACAAGAGCAUCACCCUGUAGCUAUGCGUCCUUCUCUAACAAACACUCAAAGCACUACCAUGCCGGGCUAUGGGUACUGCCUCAUCGACCAAGGAUCUACAGCGACGGCGGGACCACCGACCCCAUGGAGGCAGCACCAAAACCCUAGCCGCUACUGCUCUCCCCUGAGUCCCCUCCUCAUCUCCUUCCUCGUGCGAUGCUCUGCUUCAUCUUUUCUCAAGCCUCCACCAGUCAAAUUCGACCGGGAAAAAGAAACACCGACAUGCAUAUUAUCGGAUGUUCAAGCUGGAGGAUGUGGCGAUGGAAUAUGGAUCAAUGAGAUGAAGAAAGGUGUUGAUGUCAAGUACCAGAAUGAUGGAAGGAUCUUGUGGUUAUCUAGUUUCCCGCCAGCAGGAUUCAAUGUAGAUGAUGUGCCUCUAGGGCAAAUUCUAGAAAUGAAAGCGACCCAUUUUUGCUCUCAAACAAUGAACAUAUUUUGUUCCCUAUUUAAUAAGUUAAAUUAGUUUAUGGGAAAUUUUGAUGUGAAAAUUAUUGAAUGUGUGUUAUUAUUGUUUGGUUUUGGUUUA